GUUCUUAUAGUUGAAUUACAACAGUGGUUUUUCAGCCCGCCAGUUUUGGUUAAAGUCCAGAUGAGAAUU
This 69-nucleotide transfer RNA is filed under the name Cynoglossus monopus. RNAcentral describes it as "tRNA-Glu". It matches the Rfam family "tRNA". Rfam says of the family: Transfer RNA (tRNA) molecules are approximately 80 nucleotides in length. Their secondary structure includes four short double-helical elements and three loops (D, anti-codon, and T loops). The record is from RNAcentral. Lineage: Eukaryota; Metazoa; Chordata; Actinopteri; Pleuronectiformes; Cynoglossidae.